This 497-nucleotide ribosomal RNA is filed under the name uncultured bacterium. Its description in RNAcentral is "partial 16S ribosomal RNA". It matches the Rfam family "Bacterial small subunit ribosomal RNA", at positions 28 to 507 of the family's 1533-position model. The record is from RNAcentral.
GAUGAACGCUGGCGGCGUGCCUAAUACAUGCAAGUAGAACGCUGAAGCUUGGUGCUUGCACCGAGCGGAUGAGUUGCGAACGGGUGAGUAACGCGUAGGUAACCUGCCUCUUAGCGGGGGAUAACUAUUGGAAACGAUAGCUAAUACCGCAUAAAAGUCGACAUCGCAUGAUGUUGACUUGAAAGGUGCAAUUGCAUCACUAAGAGAUGGACCUGCGUUGUAUUAGCUAGUUGGUGAGGUAACGGCUCACCAAGGCGACGAUACAUAGCCGACCUGAGAGGGUGAUCGGCCACACUGGGACUGAGACACGGCCCAGACUCCUACGGGAGGCAGCAGUAGGGAAUCUUCGGCAAUGGGGGCAAACCUGACCGAGCAACGCCGCGUGAGUGAAGAAGGUGUUCGGAUCGUAAAGCUCUGUUGUAAGAGAAGAACGAGUGUGAGAGUGGAAAGUUCACACUGUGACGGUAACUUACCAGAAAGGGACGGCUAACUACGUG